RNAcentral lists this small RNA (118 nucleotides) under Enterobacter cloacae. Its description in RNAcentral is "RtT sRNA". It matches the Rfam family "RtT RNA", at positions 15 to 127 of the family's 130-position model. From Rfam's summary of the family: This family represents a bacterial cis-regulatory element known as RtT RNA. The record is from RNAcentral. Lineage: Bacteria; Pseudomonadati; Pseudomonadota; Gammaproteobacteria; Enterobacterales; Enterobacteriaceae.
UGCGGGGAAGAAUGAGAAGCUUCGACCAAGGUUCGAUUCGAGCGUAGCGAGAAAGCGUUGCCGCAGGCAACGACCCGAAGGGCGAGGCGCAACGCGCCGAGUAAUCCUUCCCCCACCA